UUAAAUUAAGAACUGAGACUCCAGG
Molecule: non-coding RNA, 25 nt
Filed under: Rattus norvegicus (Norway rat)
Lineage: Eukaryota; Metazoa; Chordata; Mammalia; Rodentia; Muridae
Source: RNAcentral